This 437-nucleotide ribosomal RNA is filed under the name uncultured bacterium. RNAcentral's name for it is "bacterial SSU rRNA". It matches the Rfam family "Bacterial small subunit ribosomal RNA", at positions 28 to 478 of the family's 1533-position model. The record is from RNAcentral.
GACGAACGCUGGCGGCGCGCCUAACACAUGCAAGUCGAACGAGCGAGAGGGAGCUUGCUUCCUCAAUCGAGUGGCGAACGGGUGAGUAACGCGUGAGGAACCUGCCUCAAAGAGGGGGACAACAGUUGGAAACGACUGCUAAUACCGCAUAAGCCCACGACCCGGCAUCGGGUUGAGGGAAAAGGAGCAAUCCGCUUUGAGAUGGCCUCGCGUCCGAUUAGCUAGUUGGUGAGGUAAUGGCCCACCAAGGCAACGAUCGGUAGCCGGACUGAGAGGUUGAACGGCCACAUUGGGACUGAGACACGGCCCAGAUUCCUACGGGAGGCAGCAGUGGGGAAUAUUGCACAAUGGGGGAAACCCUGAUGCAGCGACGCCGCGUGGAGGAAGAAGGUCUUCGGAUUGUAAACUCCUGUUGUUGAGGAAGAUAAUGACGGUAC